AUUAACUGAAAAGGCAAAGCAUCUCUUUCCUUCCCAUUCUCUCCUCCAAGAAACCAAACUCAAAUCAAAACCGACAAGCAAAUAAACAAACCCAAUAAAGACGAACGAAAAAGAAGAGGAAGGUUCUUCCUAUAAACAGUGUGAAGCUCCUUCAUGAAGCUUUAAUUCUUUCUAUUGUUUCUGGAUAAAUAACAUAUAUCCUGCAACUGCAAGCUACACCCAAGAUUCAUAAAGAUUAAAGAAUUAAUGGAUCAAUCUCCGAAAGACCCCUACUACAGUGAAAACACCGCCAGAAGGGUUAAUUCCGCUUCCUCCUUCUCCUCCGUUUCCACCACCAGGGUCCACGUGACUGCUCUCGAUGGCCUUGUCAACGUCAAUUCCCUUUUCACAAUUGCUGUCUUUGUGGGACUCUCUCUCACCACCCCAGGCCAGCGCAGCCUCGAGAAUCGCUCAGCCUGUGACGCUGGCAUCGACGUGGCAAAANNNNUCGUCUUUGAGGUUGUGUCCUUCAGCUUCUUCCUCUUUUCCUCUCUAAUCGCUCAAGGCCUGAAACUGGCGAUCAAUUUGUUGAACAGCAAAGACGUGGAUGAGGCGUUCAGAGCCCAUAUUAAUCUAAACGUAUUGAGAUUUGGGAUGAUGGGUUCAGCGGUGGGGUCGGUGAUGGGUUGCAUCUUUUUGGUGCUUUCAAUGGUGAAUGUGAUUGAGAUUCGGUUGGGGAUGUUGUCUUGUGGGAGUAAGAGCGCGGUUCACGCGGUUACAGCAUUGGUCCUUCUGGUUUCUUCUGCUCUCUUAAUUUAUAUUUCCACUACUGUUUAUGCUUUUCUCCACUGAUUACUUUUACACAAGGGUUCUCAACUGUGAACUUGAACUAUGUGUGUAAGCUUGUGGAAAUGAGAUUAUGCUAUGAUCUGUUGGAGAAUAUAUGCUCACAGCUCAUUUUGGAUUGUUGGGUAAGCUCAUUUGGUUUGCUGGGUAAGCUC
Molecule: unclassified non-coding RNA, 980 nt
Filed under: Hevea brasiliensis (rubber tree)
Lineage: Eukaryota; Viridiplantae; Streptophyta; Magnoliopsida; Malpighiales; Euphorbiaceae
Source: RNAcentral